AGUUAUCAACUUCUGUCUUUAGAGUGUGCUCAGGCUGGACAAAUGAGUAAAAGCAAACUUAUCUAUAUUGGAAGAAAACCAAAAUAACAAAGUUCAUCAGACCCAGUAAGACAUGAAUGCAUAUAGCCUCAUUAGUAAUUAAUAAAAGCAUUUAUCAGUACCAUCUCAAGAGUAGGUUGCAAGUGGCACAUAUCCACCAUUAAUAAUGCAUAUCACAACUUAAGAGACAACUCAAUUAUACCUGUAGGUUAUUCAACGAGAAAAGGUUACAACAAAAAUGACAGAAAAAGGGAGUAUAUACCAAAAGCAGAUGGAAGCUGGACGUCGAGAUCAGACAUGAAACUUGCUUGUUAAGUUUGAUUAGUCCCCAAACAGAUCAGUGGGUUUCACUAGUCGGUCUGGGUGUAUGAGCUGCAAAGCAUAAUACUGUUUCAAUCAGUCACUGAGUAUGUAGAGUCAUGAUUCAUGGAAGGCAUUAAAUUUUUUUAAAUGGACAACUCAAGUCAAUCAUCCAAUAUUAAGCAUACAGGCCAACCAAUAUUCACAACAAAUGUAAGAUGCUCAUAUUAACUUAAAAACAGUAAAAUAACACAUAAGAACAAAACUAACAAGAUAAUACCUAUCUGAACAAUCAAGGAACUAUCUUGUGAUAAUAAAUGAUAAUUAGGCUGAAUGGACAUUGAAGACAAUCGGUAUUCUACAUAGCUAACUGAUGGAGGUGCUCUUGGGUUCAUAACUAAGGGCAGAUAUAGAACAAUGGCAGGGAAAGAAACUAGAGAGUUCAGAGUUAAUCAAAUGAAAAAUUCUGUGAUGAGGUUGCAAAAGGGACCAAACUAUUUCCCUAAUUGGUUUGUUUUAAUGGGCUAGAAAGGCAUAUGGUACAAUUAAAACGUGACUUCACCUACACAGUGUAACAACUUGCCUAAUAUCUCUUAUCUGAUAACUACAGAUAACCACAACCAAAACUCAGCUCAUUAACAAACAGGUCUCAACUCUCAGGAGAAGGCUGCCUUCUAAAACUGGUUUAGUGCGCGCAAACUCCCAAUUCUCGUUCAGUUUAAUAUCCACACCAUUUCACAGGCUACAACUGGAGAUGUAAAUUCAGCCUGGGAGUUCCUAAAUUUCAAGACAAUUUGCACGCAGCGUCUAUUAUACUAAGAUAACUACCCCAAAUCAUACCACCAAACCAUCACUACAAGGAUAACAAAACGCGGAAUCGGAUCGAAUCUCAAACCCUAAGGGGUGAGGUGUCCCCCAAAAUCGAACAAUCUGAAGUUCAAAUCGACCCGGCCAACCCAAUCGGCACCCCUCCCCGAACCCAAGCACUCGGUAGGAGCAAAAAAUCCCCACCUCAACAAACCAACCCAUCAAUUCCACCAAACAACCCCCGAGAUCCGCUCGGUUCGGAGCGAGAUUAUGACCGCGCAAUACGACCUACCACAGAUCAAUCACGAGACGGAGGAGCCCAUCAACAAAACCUCCACAAAUCUAAGCUCGGAAACACGGAAAAUAAUCUGGGAAGAGCAGGGAGGAGGUGACCUUGGUUGGUGGCACGGCCGGCGAACGGAAAGCGAGGCGAGCGACGGGAGCGGAGGAGGGGAAAGGUGAAUAGGUGAUGCAACGACUUGACUUCGGGAACCGCGUCCUCCCUGUUUCUGGGUCCUUCGGUUCC
This 1672-nucleotide long non-coding RNA is filed under the name Setaria viridis. RNAcentral describes it as "long non-coding RNA (SVIR_LNC006110)". The record is from RNAcentral. Lineage: Eukaryota; Viridiplantae; Streptophyta; Magnoliopsida; Poales; Poaceae.